CGAUCGGCCCUUUUCAGGGCCACACAAAUAAUUCUAAAGACAAUUAU
This is a regulatory RNA element of Lasius niger, 47 nucleotides long. It matches the Rfam family "Histone 3' UTR stem-loop". Rfam says of the family: The mRNAs of metazoan histone genes lack a poly-A tail. 3' end processing occurs at a site between a highly conserved stem-loop (modelled by this family) and a purine rich region around 20 nts downstream (the histone downstream element, or HDE). The record is from Rfam. NCBI's taxonomy places the organism in Eukaryota, Metazoa, Arthropoda, Insecta, Hymenoptera, Formicidae.